This 251-nucleotide long non-coding RNA is filed under the name Manihot esculenta (cassava). Its description in RNAcentral is "long non-coding RNA (MESC_LNC010642)". Lineage: Eukaryota; Viridiplantae; Streptophyta; Magnoliopsida; Malpighiales; Euphorbiaceae. The record is from RNAcentral.
GUAGCUCCUUGAUUCCCUUUUCUUAUUAUGCUUUUCUUUUCACCCAUUUUGUGGUGGCGAAUACAGCCAGCUAACAACUGGGUUUGUGCUAUUAUUUUCAUGACCAAAUAGCAAACACCACUCUUACAUAAAAGAAGAUUCAUUUCUUCUUUGGAAUUGAAAUUCCAAUUAGGUAGUGAACUUUAAACUAUGUGGAAGUGAGGAGGACAUGUAGCUGCUAACUUUUGCUUAGAAAUGGAGGAGAAUAGCAG